This 468-nucleotide ribosomal RNA is filed under the name uncultured bacterium. Its description in RNAcentral is "partial 16S ribosomal RNA". It matches the Rfam family "Bacterial small subunit ribosomal RNA", at positions 28 to 507 of the family's 1533-position model. The record is from RNAcentral.
GACGAACGCUGGCGGCGUGCUUAACACAUGCAAGUCGAACGGAGAGGCCCUGCUUUUGUGGGGUGCUCGAGUGGCGAACGGGUGAGUAACACGUGAGUAACCUGCCCUUGACUUUGGGAUAACUUCAGGAAACUGGGGCUAAUACCGGAUAGGAGCUCCUGCUGCAUGGUGGGGGUUGGAAAGUUUCGGCGGUUGGGGAUGGACUCGCGGCUUAUCAGCUUGUUGGUGGGGUAGUGGCUUACCAAGGCUUUGACGGGUAGCCGGCCUGAGAGGGUGACCGGCCACAUUGGGACUGAGAUACGGACCAGACUCCUACGGGAGGCAGCAGUGGGGAAUAUUGCACAAUGGGCGGAAGCCUGAUGCAGCAACGCCGCGUGCGGGAUGACGGCCUUCGGGUUGUAAACCGCUUUCGCCUGUGACGAAGCGUGAGUGACGGUAAUGGGUAAAGAAGCACCGGCUAACUACGUG